GGGGGUGACCGGUUUCGACUUUGGCAUUACAAGCCAGGGGAAGCGGGCCGAGGACGGCGGACAUAACCUCGUUAACACUGUGUCCGCGAACAAAUAAGUGCCAAUACCAAGGCCACUUCGGUUAGCCAGGGUUCCCUGGCUCUCGCUGCCUAAGCAGACGAGUUAAACCGUGUCAGCCCGGGAUCGCCUCCGGCCCGGGAUCUGGCAUCGCUAGGAGGCUCCACCAUCUUCGCCGGCCGCGGGGGAAGGUGGGAAAUCAAACAGCGGAUGAGCCCGUCGGCGACUCGCCUGUGAGAGCGCCGGGGCUGAGAAAACGUUAAACAGGCUGCGCCCGGAGAAGCCCUGACUCGGUGCUGAAGGACGCGGGUUCGAUUCCCGCCACCUCCAC
Molecule: small RNA, 388 nt
Filed under: Herbidospora sp. NBRC 101105
Lineage: Bacteria; Bacillati; Actinomycetota; Actinomycetes; Streptosporangiales; Streptosporangiaceae
Description: transfer-messenger RNA
Rfam family: transfer-messenger RNA
About the family: Bacterial tmRNA, also known as 10Sa RNA or SsrA, is named for its dual tRNA and mRNA-like properties.
Source: RNAcentral